GAUGAACGCUGGCGGCGUGCCUAAUACAUGCAAGUCGAGCGAACAGAUAAGGAGCUUGCUCCUUUGAAGUUAGCGGCGGACGGGUGAGUAACACGUGGGUAACCUACCUAUAAGACUGGGGUAACUUCGGGAAACCGGAGCUAAUACCGGAUAACAUUUAGAACCGCAUGGUUCUAAAGUGAAAGAUGGUUUUGCUAUCACUUAUAGAUGGACCCGCGCCGUAUUAGCUAGUUGGUAAGGUAACGGCUUACCAAGGCGACGGUACGUAGCCGACCUGAGAGGGUGAUCGGCCACACUGGAACUGAGACACGGUCCAGACUCCUACGGGAGGCAGCAGUAGGGAAUCUUCCGCAAUGGGCGAAAGCCUGACGGAGCAACGCCGCGUGAGUGAUGAAGGGUUUCGGCUCGUAAAACUCUGUUAUUAGGGAAGAACAAAUGUGUAAGUAACUGUGCACAUCUUGACGGUACCUAAUCAGAAAGCCACGGCUAACUACGUG
This 497-nucleotide ribosomal RNA is filed under the name uncultured bacterium. RNAcentral's name for it is "partial 16S ribosomal RNA". It matches the Rfam family "Bacterial small subunit ribosomal RNA", at positions 28 to 507 of the family's 1533-position model. The record is from RNAcentral.